Molecule: long non-coding RNA, 1261 nt
Organism: Cervus elaphus (red deer)
Lineage: Eukaryota; Metazoa; Chordata; Mammalia; Artiodactyla; Cervidae
Exons: 2
Source: RefSeq, a predicted model, not a curated record
GUCUGGGCGCUGAGCUGGAGACCCAGGGUUUCUAGGAGAUUUCUCGCCGCACCUGUGCUCGCGGUACCCGGGGACAUCGGCACACAGCGUCUCCCCUGGGUGUCAACUCUCGCCUAACGGUGACCGGCGUCCCGCCCUCGCGGAGGGGUGGGCUCGGGGCCGCCGGCCUGACAGCUGGCGGGGACUGGGGUUUGCCCUGUGCGUUCUUGCACCGGCCCACGCCCGCUAGGGCACCUGCUGCCGGAGAUCAGGGAGGGGCCGGCGGCGGCUGGAGAGCGGUGCGGGCGGGGGGGAGGGGGCGGGCCUCGAGAGCUAAGCCGGAGCCCCCGAAGGAUCCCGCAGACAGGCCGGGGCUACCGCCUCUCGGCGCUGUGGCCGGAGCAGAGGGGGGCGCCGGGUGCGGAGGAUGGGGGUUGUGUCCGCGUGGGGCCCCUGGCCGCCCCCGGGGCGGGGGAGCGGCGAGGACGGCAGGCUUGGUCGUAAAAGGAGCCGCGUGUGAGUCCAGGUCACUGAGGCCCAUGCGGCCCAGGUGGGUGUCGGGCUGGCCGGGGGCAGGGUUAAUGUCUAAUGGGGGCAGAGCUUCAGUUUUGCAGGAACAUGGCAGCAGACAGUGUGAAUGUGCUUAGGGCUGUACACGUAAAGACGGCAAAGAUUAUCACGACAACGACAAGCGGGGACCCUGCUGAGCAGGGUCUGCGGUCUGGGAGCGGGUCUCACCAGUAUCAACCUCAGGGUCUGGAAACCUUUCUCGGAGCCAGGAACGGGUCGCCUUCUUUCUCACGUUGUAGUCUGUGUCGUCCCACUUCCUUGAUUCCUGCCCAAGACGAGUGUUUUUGUGGUGUUUGCGCCUGGCAUCGAAACUCCUCAGAUGUAAACUUGGUCCUCUUUGGUCCAGCGUUCAGACAGCGGGGGCUGAAGGAAAGGUCCCUGAGCCAGGUGUGAAGGACAGCAGGGCUUAGACUCUCGGGCCUGUGGGUUUUUCAUCUUGAAAGUCAAAAUGCACCGUCAGGAAAGCUCUUUUCUCCCCAGCGUCCCCUCUCCUGCCAGUAGCCGGGGUGAAGUCACCAUGGAGAAUCUCACACUGUUUCGUUUAUACAAACACAGCAUUUCAGUGGCUUCUAUUUGAGGUACAAAAUUUUAUUUUAAUUAGUCCAUUAAAAUAUUGUCUGCAUUUUGCCUCUGACACUGGUUAGUUAACGUGUUUGGAAUUUAGAAAACAGUGAUCACAACUGAUGCAUCUGGAAAAGAAAUCAUCCCGCCC